RNAcentral lists this small RNA (1357 nucleotides) under Pan troglodytes (chimpanzee). Its description in RNAcentral is "processed transcript". The record is from RNAcentral. Lineage: Eukaryota; Metazoa; Chordata; Mammalia; Primates; Hominidae.
UGGAACAAGUUUAUUGAAUCUCUCUGUCCUGUCAUCCCAAUACUACAGGGCUAUGCCGACACAGAAGAUCCUCUGGGUAACUGCAUUCUCCUUCUAAGCAAAGCAAGUUCUGACACAGAAGAGAUUCUUCCGUGUACUACCCGAUUAAAGUCCAUGCUGCGACUUUUGCUAGUGAAAAAGCCAUCGGUCCGUUCACUAGCAUUAAAGCUUUUAGCAUUCCAUCUUACCAGUGAAGAAGGGGCUGAUACAAAGCGUCCUCUAAUAGACGCCAGAGUUCUCUCCAGAGUUACUAAUUUAUUCAUUGUGAAGAAACCUAUUGAACUCAAACUGGAUGACAGAAGAGAGCUGGUUAUUAAGUUGGAGACUGUUGAAAAGGUAUAUGAAAUCUUCACCUCAGAUGAUGUUGAUCUCGUUUUGAGAAAGUCAGCUGCUGAACAGUUAGCUGUGAUUAUGCAAGAUAUUAAAAUGCAUGCUGUGGUGAAAAAGUUAUGCUUAAUUGACAAAAUAAUUGAGUAUUUAAAUGAAUGUGUGAGUCAAGAUGGCAAGGUUGUAGAAUGUUUGGUACAACCAUGCCUCACACUCUUGAGGAAGGUUUUAUGUGGUGAUCCAGUCAUGCGUGUUUCGCUCUCGCAACAGUCUUCUCUUUUGACCGUGUUAUUCAGAGAGACUUAGGCCACUGCUUUUUAAUAUUUUGCAAGAGUCAUGUAGAAUCAUCUGAAUGUGCUGAAGAGUCACGUACAAGCAUCUGAAUGUGCUUCAUCUUGUCUAUUAUCAGGCAUAUAGGAGAUAAGUGAGAUUUAUGUUCAAAAUAUGUUAUUAUAAUGUAGUCAUUUUAUUUUAGCAUUUUUUCCUCCUGUUGGCUUCUGCUUGCCAAGUGAGUAAGAUGCAGUUUAUUUAAGUAGCAGCCCUAAAACCAGGUAAAGCUCUAAACAGAUUCAGUGUGUUUAGGCUCAUAACAUUUUGAGUAGACUAUAACGUUUUUAUAAGAUUGUAUAGACUGAUCAUCUGAAAGAGCAGCAGUUAUGGAUUUUUAGUUUUCUUUAAUCCUGUUAAUAAUUGUCUUCUUAUUAACCUCAUUCACUUGAAUUUAGUUCCUGGUUUACCUUUUCAUUUAUAAUUUUCAUUUAAAUUAUUCAAGCAUGGAACUUAUUAUGAACACCUACUAGAUUCAAAAGCACAUUUCAAGGCAAUAUAAUCUAUACCCUUUUCAGUAUUUCAGUUUUUCUAUUUCAUUGCUGUUUGUGGAAAUUACUUUCAAUGAGUUUGAGAAUGAAUAUAGUAUCCUCCAUUAAUGGAUUUAGUUUCAGGAAAAAUUUUACUUACUUACUUAUUUAUUUAUUGAGACAGAGUUUCACUC